Molecule: non-coding RNA, 83 nt
Organism: Canis lupus familiaris (dog)
Lineage: Eukaryota; Metazoa; Chordata; Mammalia; Carnivora; Canidae
Source: Rfam
CAUUAGUAGGCCUCAGUAAAUGUUUAUUGGAUGAAUAAAUGAAUGACUCAUCAACAAACAUUUAUCGUGUGCCUGCUAAGGUG